This 253-nucleotide ribosomal RNA is filed under the name uncultured bacterium. RNAcentral describes it as "partial 16S ribosomal RNA". It matches the Rfam family "Bacterial small subunit ribosomal RNA", at positions 524 to 776 of the family's 1533-position model. The record is from RNAcentral.
UGCGUAGGGGGCUAGCGUUGUCCGGAUUUAUUGGGCGUAAAGAGCGUGUAGGCGGCCAGGUAGGUCUGCUGUGAAAACUCGAGGCUCAACCUCGAGACGUCGGCGGAAACCAUCUGGCUAGAGUCCGGAAGAGGAGAGUGGAAUUCCUGGUGUAGCGGUGAAAUGCGCAGAUAUCAGGAAGAACACCCGUGGCGAAGGCGGCUCUCUGGGACGGUACUGACGCUGAGACGCGAAAGCGUGGGGAGCGAACAGG